UGUUUCCUGUGUUCUUUCUGUGCAGUAAAGAAGAUGUUGGGAAACUAUGAAAGGAGAUGUCCUGGGAUACAGCUUGUUCAUUUUCAUGAAACUGUGGAAAGAAUAUAAUCUUUGCUGGAACCUGAACUGAGAUUCAAAAUCCUGCCACUUUACUAACAAUGUGACUUCAGGAAAUUUAUUUAAUCCCUGCUGAAAUACCAACAGAGAAUCAUAUCAACCUUGUAAAAAGCUAUUGGACCAAGCUCUUCUGCCACGAAAAACA
Molecule: long non-coding RNA, 262 nt
Filed under: Homo sapiens (human)
Lineage: Eukaryota; Metazoa; Chordata; Mammalia; Primates; Hominidae
Description: HSALNT0320583
Source: RNAcentral